CACUGGUCUGAGUGCAGUUUACAACCAAUUGGUCACAACCAGGUAAGUUUCUUUGUUCCUUCAUCCAUUCCCACUGCUUUACUUGGCUAGCCUUAA
This 96-nucleotide non-coding RNA is filed under the name Piliocolobus tephrosceles (Ugandan red Colobus). The record is from RNAcentral. Lineage: Eukaryota; Metazoa; Chordata; Mammalia; Primates; Cercopithecidae.